UACUAGAGUAGCACUCGCAUAUCAAUAAGCGGAGGAAAAGAAACUAACAAGGAUUCCCCUAGUAACGGCGAGUGAAGCGGGAAGAGCUCAAAUUUGAAAUCUUAAAGGGUUUCCCUUUACGAAUUGUAGUUUAAAGAAGUGUUUUCUGUUGAGGUUUUGGUAAAAGUUCUUCGGAAUAGGACAUCAUAGAGGGUGAGAAUCCCGUAUUUGACCUUUACUUUCAACUUUGUGAUACACUUUCAAAGAGUCGGAUUGUUUGGGAAUGCAGUCCAAAAUGGGUGGUAAAUUUCAUCUAAAGCUAAAUAUUGGCGAGAGACCGAUAGCGAACAAGUACCGUGAGGGAAAGAUGAAAAGAACUUUGAAAAGAGAGUUAAACAGUACGUGAAAUUGUCAAAAGGGAAGCGUUUGACACCAGUGUUGUUUUUCUGAAAAUCAAUUAAAGAACUGUUUAUGCUAAGCUGUUUAGACUUUAUCAGCUAUCUGUUUAGUUUUGAGCUUUUCUUUAAUGCACUUUUCAGUUAACAAGUCAACAUCAAUUUCUUUUGCUGUAAAAAAGCUUGAGGAAGGUGGCUUGAGAUUCGUCUUAAGUGUUUAUAGCCUCUUGCCUAUGCAGUCGGAGAGAUUGAGGUCUGCAGCGUAGAUCCUUCGGGGCUAAAUGCAUUUGUGCUAAGUUAUAGCAUUUCAUAGACAACUUGUUGACUAUGAUUUGUCUUGUAGCUUACUCGCUUAUGUUAUUUUACCUACGCUUAGGAUGUUGAGUCAUCACACAUCUCU
RNAcentral lists this ribosomal RNA (774 nucleotides) under uncultured Neocallimastigales. RNAcentral's name for it is "partial large subunit ribosomal RNA". It matches the Rfam family "Eukaryotic large subunit ribosomal RNA", at positions 20 to 614 of the family's 3401-position model. Lineage: Eukaryota; Fungi; Neocallimastigomycota; Neocallimastigomycetes; Neocallimastigales. The record is from RNAcentral.